RNAcentral lists this ribosomal RNA (253 nucleotides) under uncultured bacterium. RNAcentral describes it as "partial 16S ribosomal RNA". It matches the Rfam family "Bacterial small subunit ribosomal RNA", at positions 524 to 776 of the family's 1533-position model. The record is from RNAcentral.
GACAGAGGGUGCAAACGUUGUUCGGAAUUACUGGGCGUAAAGCGCGCGUAGGCGGCCCUGUAAGUCCGCUGUGAAAGUCAAAGGCUCAACCUUUGAAAGCCGGUGGAUACUGCAGGGCUAGAGUCCGGAAGAGGCGAGUGGAAUUCCUGGUGUAGCGGUGGAAUGCGCAGAUAUCAGGAGGAACACCAAUAGCGAAGGCAGCUCGCUGGGACGGUACUGACGCUAAGGCGCGAAAGCGUGGGGAGCGAACAGG